UCUCUGGAACAAACAAAAGGGGGAAACACUGGGAAAACACCAACCUGUACUAACUGGGCCUUUAAAUUGGAGUACAUUGCUCCACUUUAAAGGCCUAAGUUUAAAGUGGAGUAAUGUAAACUCCACUUUUUUUUUACAUUAAAAAAAGUGGAGUUUACCCUUACACUUUUUAGCAACUGCUCCCUGGUACAUUUUCCUAGCACCUCCACAUUUGGAAACUGCACAAAAUCCUCCAUGGUAGCCAUCUUUUCAAAAGAACCAACCCAGAUAACCUUUUUUUUAAAUUAUUUAUAUAUAUAUAUUUCAUCACCUUUGGAAUACUUCUCCCCUGACUAUCUGCCUAACCAAUGCUAACUACCUUCUCUAGACCCUAGUCUUCAUGCAUUUCAUGACAGGCGUUUUAAACACAAAACCAAUGACCAGCUAAAGCCCCAGCUAUGCUGUUACUCACCAGACGGACAUGGACGUGUACCCAAGACACAAAGUCAAAUCAUGUUUAUGCACAAAAACAACAAACAAACAGACCCCCGAAAGAGAUACUGUUGCUUAUUCCGACCAGAAAAGGUAGCUCCAAAGGUAAAUCCCUCUAAUUAUUUCCUGAUAAUGUUAUCACACACCCAGGCAACCAGUACACUAUUCCAGGGGAAACUUAACCUACUAGAGGCCUAUUACUUUCUCAUUACAGAAAGGAGUGAGAAACAAACCUGGACCUGGAUUUCAGACGAGCCCCCACUUGUUACACCUUGGCUCAUGUGCGCAACAAGAAAAACUGAAUGGCAUAAAGCUCUGCAGUUACAGUAUUUAUUCUACAGGAAUAAUACUACAAAGAACAAAAUACAAAGAUAACCUCCACAUGUCCAUGUGAUGGUAGACCCGGUGAAUGAGAGACCAGAGCCCAGUCUGCAGGCCUCUUAAGUAGUGGCCCAGGUGUGCCACAUCCCUGCUGAUCACCAGGGUCCAACUCCGCCUACAGGAGCUUGAAACACAACACAAGCAGAGCAGGCAACUCCAGGGUUGUCACAAGAUGAAUGACAGAAUGUAUGAGGAAGAUAUAGGGCGGUGGUGGGAAAGGUUGAUAGAGGGGAUAAGGGGCAUGAGCAAAAACACUAUAAGAACAGGGGAAAGAAAGAGAGAGACAGAGAAAAAGGGUUAAAAAAGGAGUUAGAGGAAGAGGAGAAGAAAGCUGGGGAAGGGGGUAAUUAUGACAGAGGGAUACAUAAGGAAGAAAGAUGAACUAAAGGAGAUAGAACAGGGAAAGUGUUAAGGUGCAAUAAUUAGAAGUAAGGCGAGGUAUGCAAUAGAGCAGGAGUGUCAAACAUACGGCCUGUCAGGUGGUCCAGUUCGGCCUGCCGGAUGCAAGGCAUGCUCUAAAUAAAAAACAAUUAUUUAAAAAAAAAUUGAAAUAAAAAUAGAAAAAAGUCAAACCGCGAUCUCACUCUAUGCCAGUGAUUCUCAAACUGGUGGGGUUCAGAGGCAUAACAGCUGGGGCGCGAUCGGGAGGGGGAAAUGUGAGGUGGAAAUAAUGUUUUGACGUCCGCAUCUCUUUAACGAUGGAACAGUAAUCAAAUCGUUCUUUCGCCGUAGCCAGAGGUCGGCCAUCCGCGGCUCUGCAGCGGCUCCCUGUACAGUGUUGUGCAUGUCGCACAGCAACCCAGUCUCAUCAGAAAACGUUCAGUGUCAACGUUGGUCCACUUGGAACAACGUUACCAUCUCACAUUCUGGCCUCUCAGAGUGUGAGAUGGUAACAUUUUGUCAGCCCAUUGUUUUGCAUUGGCGUGUUCUCACGUCACGUGACUCACAAGCUCCCGUCUGCGGAGAGGAAAACAUAGAGGAUAUUCCUUGUUUUCUCAGAUAAAAAUAUAGUUUUGUAACUUAGUUUGGGCAUAAAAAUACAUUGACACCAUUUCUAGCGAGAAAUGUGCUCUUUGCUUCCACAGUCUUCAGCCAGUUCGUGCUUAUGAUAAAUAUUUUAAUAGUUAUCGCGAAUGUUUUUAUCGUUGCUAUGAGGGUUGCUAUGACACUGCCAUGCCAGCACGGCGCAGCGUGCUGUUAAAAUCACCGUCCCUGCAUGGUGUCCUUCAGUGAUCGUGAAUGUUAUUCACGUUAUAUAAUAUUAAUAUUUGAGGCUAGAUUACACCUCUAAUGCGAAGGAUCCUGCGAGACCGUUCAUCCCGAAGGGGGACCGACUGCGCCACGGACGGACGGGCGAGCGGAACUGACGUGUGGCUUUUAGUAAACAUCCGGACCUUUAACUCUGGGCUGCGUAAUAACCACCGAGCUCUUGGAAGACAAACGAUGUCAUCCUUCUUCUGUCAGGUGAGUAGUUUAUUGUUUUUAAAGAUCGUUACGAUCUAGGUUUACAGUCCGAGUGCUGAGACAGCAGAUGCUAAUCUUCAGCUAAUACGCCAUUGUUAGCCACAUGCUGCAGCCCACCGUAGCCUGUGCUACCUGGGAGGUGAAUACAUGGUUGUUGAAACCAGUUCAAGACGCUUAGCUCAUCAUUGAGGGACGCUACAAUAUAUAUAUAAACAUGAAUUUGAUUUAUGAAUGCUUUAGAUUAAUAAGGAGUGUAUUUCUCUACCAUUACUCCAAAAUAUCAGAUCAAUUUGGUUUAAUGUAUAGUAUGCAAUAUGACUGUUUCCAUGUUAUGGAGUUGCAAUUCAUUUUAUAAAACAAUUCCUAUGUUCUGUUUUUUAAUCAAGGAGGAUCCAAGUGAAGCUACAGGAGUUUCAUUAACGUCAAUAACUUGGACCGAACACUUUGUUUUGCUUGAUGAAGAGCAGGAAGGGCAGCCUGGAGAGAAAGAGAAGCCGGGUUGAGCCCACUACCAUCAUCCACGUACCACGAGGAAGAUGAGGGAGAGAAAUGAUCCUACCAUUAAAGAGGAAGGACUGAUGCAUGUACUGAGACGGGACGUGAGGGCCUACUCUGCGUGCUCAGAGUUCAAGCCCAGCAGGCUGCAGCGGGCCUAUGGAAGUAAAUCUGUGUCAUCGGGAUUUUAAACAGAAAAGACAUUGAAUUUCUAGCACUGAAUAUUUAUGCAUGGAAAUUAUGUAUUUGAAUGUUUUUCAACGUUUAAAAUUCAACCGCAAAAAAUUCAACCUCAAAAAAUUCAACCGUAAAAAAUUCAACUGCAACAUCCGGGGAUCCAAGGAGGAGCAAUCGAUUCCAGAUUCAAGAUCGGGAGCGUGCGUGAGGUGCUUCGGCGAGUGUUUAAACUCUUCUAUAUGCCAUCGGUGUAGUUUGUUUCUGUAAGAUGUAGUAAUAGACAGGUGACAUGUGUACAUUCACGGACUUUAUUGGACAUAAACUAAGUGGAACUUAAACGAGAUGAUGUCCGGAUUUUUUUUUUCCGAACGGGCCAGUGACUGGCAUGGGUAACGCCAGGAUUUCAAUUUUGGAUGGGCCAAACACUCACCGGAGCACCUCACACACGCUCCCGAUCUUGAAUCGAUUGCUCCUCCUUGGAUCCCCGGAUGUUGCAGUUGCAUUUUUUUGAGGUUGAAUUUUUUGGAGGUUGAAUUUUUGAGGUUGAAUUUUUUGCGGUUGAAUUUUUUGAGGUUGAAUUUUUUGAGCUUGAAUUUUAAACGUUGAAAAACAUUCAAAUACAUAAUUUCCAUGCAUAAAUAUUCAGUGCUAGAAAUUAAAUGUCUUUUUUGUUUCAAAUCCCGAUGACACAGAUUUACUUCCAUACGGGCCUGACAUAUUCCGGAACAGCAGCACAUUCUUUGGAUGACUCCUCUGAAGAUGAAAAGAUGGCGAGUUCUUCUCAAGAGAAGCAGUACAGGUGCGCCUCAGCUCCAUUGUCCCUCCUGCAGCCUCCGCUCCUUAUGCUAACCUCAUGUCUCCAUCACAACAAGCAGCAGACCUGGAGGGACAGACCUUUCUCCAGAGCUGCCCCCUCCCUCUGAAACCCUCCUCUCCAAAACACUAUUUGUGGCGUUUUUAAAGUCUUAUUUGCAUGAGAAUUGUUGAUCAUAACAUUUCCAGCAGAUGCCUUAAUGUAAUGUUUGUGAACAAUAAAUGACAUUGAUCAUAACAUAUUGGUAUUUCCUUGCACUUCUACACCAUGAUAUUGUCAGAUAAGAUGCUGAUUACAUUAAA
Molecule: long non-coding RNA, 4104 nt
Organism: Platichthys flesus (European flounder)
Lineage: Eukaryota; Metazoa; Chordata; Actinopteri; Pleuronectiformes; Pleuronectidae
Exons: 3
Source: RefSeq, a predicted model, not a curated record